Long non-coding RNA from Gambusia affinis (western mosquitofish), 9236 nucleotides. RefSeq lists it as uncharacterized. Lineage: Eukaryota; Metazoa; Chordata; Actinopteri; Cyprinodontiformes; Poeciliidae. The record is from RefSeq and is a predicted model, not a curated record. The transcript is spliced from 2 exons.
UUGAUUGAUUGAUGAUUAUUAAAUUCAUAAAGAAAUAUUGAAUUAGAGGAUUUUAGAUUUGGUUUAAAUUUAGGACGGUAAUUUUUGUUUAAAAAGUGUAAAAACCCAAGAAAAAAACAAUGUUCUGGAGAGGAGCGAACUUUGGGUUGUGUCAUCUGUCAGGAAUCAGACAGAAGUGUUCCACUUUGAUGAAUUUGACAACAUCUACAUGUAAGAUUUCUAAUUAAUUUCUUUUUUGCUGACACAUCUCCUACAAACAAUAUAACUGCCAGGUAAAACUAAUAAUUUGUGAGCGUGCCAUGCACACCACAGGACAGGAUGAGGCUCUAUAAGGGACAUAGGUCAGCUGAUCAAAUGUUAAAUAACAAAAGCAGCAACAGGAUAACAUAGAACUGGAAUCCUCUUAAAUUAAGAUAAAAAAGAGCAAACAAUAGAUAAAAUUGUUCUAGCUGACAUGCAGGCAAAUGCUCCAAUAGCAAGAUCACAAAUGAGAAUAAUUAAAAGGGGCAACACUGAAUGAUAAUAAAUUUUUUCAAUUAAAAAUAAAAACAGAAAGAGGCAGGAGUUUUCACUAAAAGAGGCUGAAGACAAAACAGGCAGACUGCAGAGACAGAACUCAGGCAAAAUGAAAACUAUUGGGUUCCUGACAGGGACAAUAACAUAAAAAGAAAAUUAAAAAAAGGGUCAUUGCCACCAGCUCUGAACACACUAGCAUAAAAAUACAGACUUGACUAUUUUCGUUUUGGGCAAAAUCAAGAACAUGACUGCUCUUAAAGGGCCAGUUGUACCAGAAUGUAUUGAUAAAAGCCAUUCACAAACUGUUAAAAUAUCACGCAUUUCUUAAAUAUCAUUGAAUUUUUGUGAUUUUUUGCAAUAAAAAGUGUUUGUGGUAGUAAUUUGGAAAUAUUUGCACUUAUUUAUAACGGUAAAUUUGACUUUUUAUUACUCGCUGUACAGGUCAUAUAAUGGGACAUCAAUUAGGUUUGAGGCAGCUGUUUAGUUCAAGUAAGGAAGUUUCACAUUUUUUUAUUAAAACUGCAAAAACUCCCAAUUAUUUGCUCAGAAAAGUGCAGGGAUUUGUUGAUUUUGGUGAAUUUCCCUGAUAAUUCUAAAAGAAACUGGAGCGACUGAUUGAUAUAAUUUGGCAGUAAACGGAUAGAACUGCAUUAAUUUGAUUGAUGACAUAAUAUUUAAGCACACUUAGUGUUUAGUUUAGAAUCUGGAGGGCCGCACAAACCCACAGCGGGCUGGAUUUGGCCCACGGGCCUUCAGUUUGACACGUGCUCUAAGGGGAUAUAUCCCGUAAUAAUUAAUAUCACAGAAGGAACUUUGACAGUCAAGGGGGAACUGCUACCCCACAAAACUUCAGGAGUCCACACUGGGAAUAGAACCCCGAAUUGGACUGUAUUAGAUCAAACCCCAUCCUCCCCAAAUCCCAUGGUUUGGUCCCAGCUAAAUAUUAUAUCUAGAAACCUGGCUCAGACAAACUACAGUUAAUCUUAAAGGUCCAUACACAAACUUAAUUGAAAUGCUUAAAGAAGCAGUUUUAAAAGGCGUCCCUGGAUAUGUUAUGCAGUCUAUAAAACACACUCAAGAUCUUGCAGGGUGUGAACAUGUGAGAUGGAAAAGACACUUGCUUCAUCACCUCUUAAAGGCGCAGGACGAAUAAAAUAAUAAUAAUAAAAAAACUGUCUUAAGGGCUUAGACACUCUGACGCUGAAACUCCAAUUGCAGGAAGCAAAACAAAAUUACAUUAAUUAAAUAAAAGUAAACAAGAACAUGUGUUGGUUGCAGCAGCAUCUUCUCAAAAUAAAUCUACACAGGGUAAAAUUCCAAAUUACUGGCAAAACUCUAAUCAUACUGGGGGGGGAACUGGUUCCUCCUCCUGCUUUUUCUUUUUUAUAUCCUCAAACAGAUACAGAGCGUUUCCUCGUGGACGGGGAUGGCGUUUGGCUGGAUGUGGAUGAGGGCCAUGGGGCAAGGUCACGGAGCACGAGGCCAAGGACCAAAGGAACUUGACGUGCUACCAGUGCGGACAUUUUGGACACUGGGCCAAACACUGUGUGAACAUACCAAAGACUGCCAGGUAUGAUCCCCAACAAUCCUUAUGUGAUUCCUGGACAUUGCUUUCAGGGGAAUACUGAGGCCACACAGAACAUCUACUGACACACUGCUGAGGACCCCAGAGACAAUGUGGGUACAGCAGACCCCAUGUUGUCUGCAACAGUGGAAGGAAAACACACAGACUUCCUGGUUGACACCGGAGCCACACAUUCCACUCUGAACUCUGCUCCUCCUUUUUCUCUGACAUCAAGAACUGUGUCUUUAACAGGGUUCUCAGGGACUGAACAGAGUCUGCUAUUCACGAUGCCUCUGACCUUCAUUUUGGGUAAUCAGAAUAUGAAACAUUCUUUUGUAAGUUUUCCUACGACUCCCAUGAAUUUGCUUGAGCGAGCUUUGCUGAUAAAGAUGGCAGCAACAAUCAUGUGCUCGGCUGAUGGACUAAUUGUUGCAUUUCCUGAUGGCACCUCCCUUCGUUGUGGAAAUUUCCAAACAGAAGGACAGUAUCUGAUCCAGCCAGUGGUGUCUGAGUUUGCUGACAUCUAUUGAGAACUUUUAACAAAUUUACCCUACAGCAGCCUAAUGUCAACGUUCAUGGCCUGGAAGCCCUGGCUCCUGUGUCUGCGCUUCUGUGUUCCUCCUCCGGAUCCGCCAUGCGUGGCCCUGUUCUGCGACAGAGACGUCUCUGAAUGGUACCAGGAACCUUUCCUUUCCACUUUGAAGGAAACAACCUGGCAGCACCAAGUGAAAAAAUUGGGCGUGACGAUGAAACGUUCCCUGGCAGCCACAGAUUCGAUUGCCACAGCAGCACUAGGUUUGUUUUCCUCCCGUACUCUUUACACAUGUAAUAUCUGUCAUUCAGGGUCUGAUCACAUAAUAAAUCUUAAAGGAAAAUGUACUGCAAUUUUCCAUAAAUCAGUGACCUUAGACAUUCUGAUGAGGCUCCUUGGUUUGUAAAAGUAACAAUCUUCAAACAUAUUUCCCAGCAUACCUACAUUUCUUAAUUAAAUGGUUUUCUUUAUAUUGUUUGGUAAGAUAUUCAAAUUUAAUAUGUCAUAUUUCCAUUAACUGUGAGCAGAAAAUUAUUAUCAUUACUAGAAUUAAAGACUUUAGUUAAAAUAAAUUAACAUCUGAUAUGCAAUACAUAUAAAUAUUUUUAAGACGGACUAUUCCCUCAUAAUAGAAUUGAUUUUAGUUUAAUCAGGUUUUGCAAGAUAUUUUGCAGGACUGCCCACUAGACCUUUUGCUUGCUGCACCAACUAUGGAGACCUGCGUUAAAGCCACCUCAGUUCUUUGAGGAUAUUUCUGUAACAAAACUGACUGUUUUGUUUCAGAAAAAGGGGGAGGAAAAGGGCAUCACCCUUGUACGCAACAGGCAGCUGGGAUACCCGAUACAAAAACUGAACACAUAGUCAUGGGACAUUCACUGAGUUUCACCAUGACAGCGUUGAGACAACAAACACUUUCCAAAGUCCUGAAAGCUCCAAACAUUUCAUUCACACACCAAGACAUAAAUAUGGCAGACUGUUUUUCAGAAGGAGAACCACACGUGUGUGCAGACCUGGUGGCAAAGACAGACAAGGUAACACCAGAACUUCAAGCAGCUCCUCUGCUGGGACCAGAGGUGAGACAGUUCUUUACAGAUGGUUGUUGUUUCAGAAACAACACACAAGGGUUAAGAGCCUGGAAGAGGUGGUGAGAUGUCAAAAGGGGGCGUCACCUGAAGAGAAAAACGUGAAACAAAUGGGUGCUGGAGGGGCCCAGAUGGCAGGUUAAUUCUGCCUCCUGGGAAAAUAGAAGAGCUGCUUCAAGAAGCUCACGGGGUUGGACAUGUUGGGACGAAACAGAUGAUGCACAAUCUUAAAGAGUGGUGGCACCUCAAAUGAUCCACAUGGUGAAACAUUUUGUGAAAAAUUGUUCGGUGUCCAAAGAGAUGGACACCAUCUCUUUGUCCAGGAAAAGAGAUGGUGUUAAAUUCUACUGACAUGAUAAACCCGUUGCAAGACAAAAAUAUUUGCUGAUUUGUGUUGAUGCUUUCACAGGAUGGCCUGAAGCGUGGCCAGCAACAGCAGAAGAUAGUGAAAUCAUCAUAAAAUGUCUAAUCAAUCAUUACCUCCCAAGGCAAAGCAGAAUGAAUGAAUCAAAAUUUAAAACAAAAUUGGCUAAGGUUUGUGCACAAACAAAAUUAAAUUGGGUCGAUACAUUACACAGGAACCAACUUGUUGUUAGACUGAUUAACUGCAACAGCUCAAUAAUAUCAAAUGUCUAACUGUGUGGCCUGCACAGCUGGACGACCCAGAAUGUACUGAACCUGCUUCUUUGAUUCCAUCUGACAUUUGGGGUUUUUAACUGCAUGUUUAAUUUGACUAAGUUUCAACAGCCCUCUAGAUGUGACACUUUAACAGCUUUAUUUCCAGUAAUCAACAGCGGAGCCCGGAUGGUGCCGCUAUUCCAGUUAAAGAUAACUAUGUCUGUUUCAAUUUUACAACAGGUAACCGCAGUGUGGGCCGGAUCCCUGAAAGUUGGUGUAACAUCAAAUUCCCAGGGCACUUAAUAGGCUAGAGAUGGGAUAUUUUAUUUAUGCAGGGGUAAUAAACUAAUUGAGAGAAUAUAGACUGGUGUGACAGGUGUCUGUGCUAUGGUGAGACUUAGAGCCUGUGUCAUCAUGGUAGGUGAACAACAACCUCUGAAUCACAGCAUCUUUUCACAGGUCAAGUGCAGCGCAACUGUGGAGCUGCAACUUUCCAGAUUUUAAAUGUAAAAAGUCCAAUCCUUUCUCGGUGUGCCUGGAUGAAAAUGAGGCAUCUGGACACACGUAGAAACUGGUUGACAUCAACAGAUACUAGACAACACAAUUUUGAAUUAAGUUUGUAGAUCUCAUUAAAACAAAUUAAUCCUGUUGACUUCUUACGAUUUGGCCAGUAUCAUUACAUUGUGUUAAGACUGAAUUUUUAUCUAAAACAUUGAUUGCCAAGUUUAAAAUGUGUUUUCAUUUUGUUCACUAAACAUAUUUCUUUUCAGUUGGUAAGUUUGCAUCUCUUUAUGACCACUAACUACUUUCACAUUUUGAACUUAAAGAUUUCACCGCUCGAGUACUAAAAGGGAUCUUAACAAUACUUUAUUUAGGAUUUUAUUUGUCAGUAUUAUAUCUAACAUUUAAUCAUUUAUCCUAUUUUCAUUAAGUUUUGGCUUAUUGAAGCUUGCAUAUUGACUAACAUUUUAUUCAUUUUGCAUUAUUCAAUUUAUAGUUUACCGGCAUUCACAGUAUUAACCUCACAUUGUAUUCUAUUUACAUUUUAUUGUUCGUUCAAGUUUAUUUUUGAAUGUACUCAUUAACUCAUUAAUUUCAGUUUAUUGUGCAAUUUAAACUGGUUUGAUAUUGAUAGGGUUUGCUAGAAGACAUUGUCUUGAUUAAACUUUGUAGAUUGCAUUACAACUCAAUACUACUGAAUUUUAAUGAUUUUUAUAGAAUAAUUACAUUGUACUUCUACUGAAUUUUUGCUUAUAACAUUGAUUUGCAUAUUUCAAAUGUGCUUGUCUCUUAUUCUGUGCAUUGCACAUGGUUUUCAUCUAAAAAAAGGGAUCUGAAAAUUUCUUUGUUUACGUUUAAAAUUUUUAAGCAUCAUCUAACAAUUAUUCAUUUUAAGGUUUAUCUUCGUGACUUUUGGUUUAAUAAAUCAAAAUUUUCACUAAUGUUUAUUCAUUUCUCAUUUUACAUUUAUUUUUAAAUAAAAUCUAAUGUUUUAUUCUUUUCUUCAUUUUGCAUUUCUUUUCAGGUAUUAAAUAACAUUUUAUUCAUUUUACAUUUCAAUUACCAUUUAUUCAUAAAUUUUUUAAAUAAUAUUUAUUUAUUUUUUAUUUAUUUUUUGUUGAAUGUUCUUUGUUAGCCUGUAAGAGGAACACUGUGGUUUCUACCCGCCGCCCAGGGCCAGGGGGCGCUCUGUUCGAUUUUUACCCCAUAAGAAUGAAAUGAAAUGACAACAACAAACAUCGUAGUGGGCCCGGGGAGUUUUCCGAACAGUGGGCAGUGUUUCCUCAGGAUGUGUGAUGCUCCCCAAGCUGUUCGAUGUUCUAUUUGUGGUCUCUUAGAGACCAAAAGGGGGAGUUGUUGAGACGCUUAUCCAGGGUUGCACGUGUACUCAUGCACAUACAGCUGUAUUUCACACAUAGUAUGUUUCAUUUAUGCGCAGAGAGCUUUUGGAGGAAAAGAACUUGACCUUGCAUGUUUCACUUUCAAACAAAAGGCUUUCAGUAGAAGUGAAACUUAAGCUGACACCAUGAUAUCAUAACAUUCCUUAGCUGACGUAGUUCAUCAGACGACCCGUAAGGCGUGUCUUAGAUAUAAAGAAUGGAUCGUCCGUUUUUGAUCAGAUGCUGUUUAGUCCCGGUGUAUUCACAUCACAACAAAUUAGCCUGUGAGGGUAAGCGUCUCUUUCUUUUUAGCGCUAAAAAGAAUAAAAUAAGUAAAGUCUGAUUAUUUGUGUUUGACUGAUUUUCUGCACGUGUGAUCACAUGCUUCCGAUUCAUCGAUAAUAUAUUUAGAUCAACAAAAUACUGUAGGAAAUGGCAUCAAGUAGUUUAUCUAGCAGCUAAGUGAUUGUGGCAAUUCAACACAGGCACAGUAUUAGGUUUGGUGUUCUAGUCAACAGUGCACAAUGCUACAAAUAUGAUUUAUAGUCUUCAACAUGCCAGGUGCGGUUCAUGCUGGUUUGUGAUUAGUUAUCUUGGUUAGUUGGGAAAAAAAAAUCAGAUGGAACUACAAAAGGCAGCCAAUGCAAAAGCAGUACAACAAGAUCUUAUGACCAAAUCUGGCCAAUCGUCACCUUCACUGCUGGCAGGAAUCAGCCAAUCACAAUGUGCAGCAUUGGAAAGUUGAAACAGACUGAACAAAAUGAAGUGAAACAGAAGCUGGAAGACAAAUUUUGGAUUGGAAAAUAAAUUAGAUGUGGAAAAAGAAGGAAAAAGGGAAACAAAGUGUGCAAAGGUUUUGAGAAAAACAUCAAUAAUACUGUAAGAUUUAGGACAAUAAAACAUAUACAACAAUAAACCAAACAUAAAAGUAACCAUCAGUUACAGUGCAUCACUUAAAAAAGGAUAUCACUUAACAAAAUAAUUACAAAAUAGACUUUGUAAAUAGGCUUUUUAGCUACAUGAGAACAUCCGUCUUAAAGAUAAGGCUCAUUGUUUUGGUUUGCAAUAAUUCUUAUUAUUAUCUGAAGUAUAACUGGAAAUGAAUAUUUAUUAAUUUAAGAAAAAAAGAAUUACUUCAAAAAGAAAGUAAAAAAAAAUCACAAAUUAAAUGUUCACAAUAAAAAAAUAAUAAAAAGUACCAUGUUGAUGCUAAUACAUUUGUAAAAUUCUAAAAAACAAUUGUUCUAAACAGCCUACCAUAAAUAAUGAGCCUUUAAUCUUAAAAAGUGUGAAAUGUAUCUUUAUAGCACAAUGUGUAAAUACUAGAGCUUUUGAUGACUUAAAAUCCUUUCACAUUUGAUAAUGAAAAAAAAUAAAAUACUGUUUUGGCAUUUCCAUUGCACAACUCUGGUGGGCAGUGUUAGAAAGCAGACAACUGAAACAACAAGUUCUCUCACAUCACUGCCAUAAAAUCAAAAUCAUAACAGAAACCACACUCUUUACAGAAUUUUCUUGGUAAGAAUUAGGACAUGUUCCAGGUUACAAUCUUGUAAUUCAGGAAAACGAAAAUUUUAGGCAACUAUAAACCCUGACUAAACAACAAAAUUAGAUGAAUCCACAUCCUGGAUCCACAUCACCCAAGACUUAUGGAGUCACACUGUGGAGUGAAAGUUUCCUGGAGCAUGCCCGCAAAUCAGAUAUUAAUUAAGCAGGGGAGAAAACUCAGGCCAAAGGAGUUUUUGUUUGACAUGCGGCUAGCAGGUUCUAGAAUAGCUAAGCUAGCUCGCAAAAGAGUUGAAGCACCAACUAUGUCCAGAGUUUUUAGUAGAAGUUUUGAAGCACCUGGAUGGGUCUCAAGUAAUUAGUGUCUUAGCACAGAAGUCAACAGUCCAAACUUCCUCAGUUUUGGGGAUUGAUGAAAAAUAUAAAUUUGCUACUAAGCUAGCCAGCCUUAAGCUAACAUCAGUUAAUAAGCUAGCUACUUUUUUUUUUUUUAAGGAAAGAUUAAAUAUCCCCUAUCCAAAAUUAACAUUCAAUUUUCAAGCUCUAUGCUCAAUGCUUUUCAUCUCAUCAUUGUUCAUGUUUCUAUACUUAGUAACUUAGUCUAUAAAAAUUGCUGAAGUGUUUGAUGACCCAAAAAGGGUGUAAGGGUUAGGGUUAUAUACCCAAAAGGAGUAUUUUCAUUUUCAUAUUUGCCUUCAAUUAUUGUUUCGAAACUUCACGGGUGGAACAAAUAAAGUUGAUCCACACCAUGGUCAGCAGACCCAGUGAUUUGUGGCACCACAUUUAUUUUGUAGAGAAAGCCCCAGUGUAUUUCAAUUUGUAAUACAAUUUUAAAUCAUAAAAGUAAAUAAGAGAAUUUGCUCAGACUAAUAGGAAAGUUUAGAGACUUUCAGACUUUUUCCAUUCUCUCUAGAAGUUAGCAAGAAUCUUAAAUUUCCAAUUAAUUCAAGCUGCAACUGUUGCUGUCUACUGCGGGUAAGAUACUGACUGCUCGAAACUAAAGCCACAUUUAUUAUCCACUAAACUUAAGCGGUGGGUCUGAAUAAAGUAGGUUUUUGAGAUAAAUACAGUUUACAAAAAGUCUAAAUAACUGAGGAAAUUUUAAAUGUAGAAAGUGAAGGUGAUAACUGGAGCUUUGACUUAAAUGAACCACAACUGAUUAGGCUGCAAAGAGGUAAAUAUCCACCUAUUAGCCACAUAUAAGUACAUCAUUAGUUUCUCUCCUAGGCAAGCCGUUGGUUGAAGAUUUGCUGCUGAGCCAGUUGGGGCUCCUGGUAGAUUUGUCCCAACAUCUCAUGCAUCAUGCAGAGCAGAGGACAGCCAAGGCUCAGCAGCUCAAACAAGAAUAUAUAAUCCUGUGAGUAGCUCCUGACGUGGGAUCCCACAGCUGUAAUUGACUCACACACGCUUCCCAACAGCUGUUGAGGCAACACACACACAGCCCGACCAGCACGCCUCGGCCAGCUCAGACCGCGCUUAAUCAAGGAAACCAGGGUACCUGUGGGUUGGACGGCGCCUGUGGCUGAACAGAUCCCGCUGUC